RNAcentral lists this ribosomal RNA (1007 nucleotides) under uncultured archaeon. RNAcentral's name for it is "SSU rRNA". It matches the Rfam family "Archaeal small subunit ribosomal RNA", at positions 474 to 1337 of the family's 1478-position model. The record is from RNAcentral.
UACCAGCUCCUCGAGUUGUUGGGACGAUUAUUGGGCCUAAAGCGUCCGUAGCCGGCCGGAAAAGUUCACCGUUAAAUCCGACGAUUCAAUCGUCGGGCUGCGGAGAAUACUCUUCGGCUUGGGGGCGGGGGAGGUCGGCGGUAGUCCCGGGGUAGGGGCGAAAUCUUAUAAUCCCGGGAGGACCACCAGUGGCGAAGGCGGCCGACUAAAACGCGCCCGACGGUGAGGGACGAAAGCUGGGGGAGCGAACGGGAUUAGAUACCCCGGUAGUCCCAGCUGUAAACAAUGCAGGCUAGGUGUCGGGAUGGCUACGGGCCAGCUCGGUGCCGCAGGGAAGCCAUUAAGCCUGCCACCUGGGAAGUACGGUCGCAAGGCUGAAAUCUGGAGAGGCUUACGGUAGUCAGCGUUACAUGAGAUCAAUUUAACAUAUUUCAGGGACGCGCGUCCUUGACAUAAAUUCAAUUGUUCUUGACUGAGCUUUUUGGUUCAGUACUUUAUCGAUGGUGAGCCUUCCUGACAGCAUACUUAAAGGAAUUGGCGGGGGAGCACCACAAGGGGUGAAGCUUGCGGUUUAAUUGGAGUCAACACCGGGAAUCUUACCAGGAGCGACAGCUGGAUGAAAGUCAGAUUAAAGGUCUUACUGGACUAGCUGAGAGGAGGCGCAUGGCCGUCGCCAGUUCGUGCCGUGAGGUGUUCUCUUAAGUGAGACAACGAACGAGACCCGUGUCUCUAGUUGCCAUCGGGUUCCUUCGGGAAUCCAGGCACACUAGGGAGACUGCUUCCGCUAAGGAGGAGGAAGGAGCGGGCCACGGCAGGUCAGUAUGCCCCAGAUCUCCUGGGCCACACGCGAGCUGCAAUGGUUGGGACAAUGGGUUCCGACCCUGAGAAGGGAAGGUAAUCCCGAAACCCAGCCUCAGUUGGGAUCGAGGGCUGUAACUCGCCCUCGUGAACAUGGAAUCCCUAGUAACCGCGUGUCAUCAUCGCGCGGUGAAUACGUCCCUGCUCCU